UACGUAGGGGGCGAGCGUUGUCCGGAUUUAUUGGGCGUAAAGAGCUCGUAGGCGGUUUGGUAAGUCGGGUGUGAAAUCUCCACGCUCAACGUGGAGGGGCCACUCGAUACUGCCAUGACUCGAGUCCGGUAGAGGAGUGUGGAAUUCCCGGUGUAGCGGUGGAAUGCGUAGAGAUCCGGAAGAACACCAAUGGCGAAGGCAAUGUUCUGGCUCGUUUCUGACGCUCAGGUGCGAAAGCCAGGGGAGCGAACGGG
RNAcentral lists this ribosomal RNA (254 nucleotides) under uncultured bacterium. RNAcentral describes it as "partial 16S ribosomal RNA". It matches the Rfam family "Bacterial small subunit ribosomal RNA", at positions 524 to 776 of the family's 1533-position model. The record is from RNAcentral.